Molecule: ribosomal RNA, 252 nt
Filed under: uncultured bacterium
Lineage: Bacteria
Description: partial 16S ribosomal RNA
Rfam family: Bacterial small subunit ribosomal RNA
Source: RNAcentral
UACGUAGGUGGCAAGCGUUGUCCGGAUUUACUGGGCGUAAAGAGCGCGCAGGCGGUCGUCCAAGUCGCGUGUGAAAGCCCCCGGCUCAACUGGGGAGGUCACGCGAUACUGGUCGACUCGAAGGCAGGAGAGGGUAGUGGAAUUCCCGGUGUAGUGGUGAAAUGCGUAGAUAUCGGAGGAACACCAGUGGCGAAGGCGACUACCUGGCCUGUUCUUGACGCUGAGGCGCGAAAGCUAGGGGAGCAAACGGGG